Molecule: small nuclear RNA, 164 nt
Organism: Acomys russatus (golden spiny mouse)
Lineage: Eukaryota; Metazoa; Chordata; Mammalia; Rodentia; Muridae
Product: U1 spliceosomal RNA
Exons: 1
Source: RefSeq, a predicted model, not a curated record
AUAUUUACCAAGUAGGAGAGAUACCAUGGUCACGAAGGUGGUUUACCCAUGGUAAGGAUUAUGCAUUGCAUUCAGGACAUGCUGACACAUUGCGAUGUCUCCAAAUGCUGGGAAACUUAACUGCAUAAUUUGUGGUAAUAGGGAAAUGGAGUUCUCGCUCUCUC